GAUGAACGCUGGCGGCGUGCCUAAUACAUGCAAGUCGAGCGAACAGAUGAGGAGCUUGCUCCUCUGACGUUAGCGGCGGACGGGUGAGUAACACGUGGAUAACCUACCUAUAAGACUGGGAUAACUUCGGGAAACCGGAGCUAAUACCGGAUAAUAUAUUGAACCGCAUGGUUCAAUAGUGUAAGACGGUUUUGCUGUCACUUAUAGAUGGAUCCGCGCCGCAUUAGCUAGUUGGUAAGGUAACGGCUUACCAAGGCAACGAUGCGUAGCCGACCUGAGAGGGUGAUCGGCCACACUGGAACUGAGACACGGUCCAGACUCCUACGGGAGGCAGCAGUAGGGAAUCUUCCGCAAUGGGCGAAAGCCUGACGGAGCAACGCCGCGUGAGUGAUGAAGGUCUUCGGAUCGUAAAACUCUGUUAUUAGGGAAGAACAAAUGUGUAAGUAACUAUGCACGUCUUGACGGUACCUAAUCAGAAAGCCACGGCUAACUACGU
Molecule: ribosomal RNA, 496 nt
Filed under: uncultured bacterium
Lineage: Bacteria
Description: partial 16S ribosomal RNA
Rfam family: Bacterial small subunit ribosomal RNA
Source: RNAcentral